GAUGAAGAACGUAGCAAAUGCGAUAAGUAGUGUGAAUUGCAGAAUUCAGUGAAUCAUCGAAUCUUUGAACGCACAUUGCGCCCCAUGGUAUUCCGUGGGGCAUGCCUGUUCGAGCGUCAUUUACCCCCUCAAGCUCCGCUUGGUGUUGGGCGUCUGUCCCGCUUCGCGCGCGGACUCGCCCCAAAGGUAUUGGCAGCGGUCGUGCCAGCUUCUCGCGCAGCACAUUGCGCUUCUCGAGGCACCGGUGGGCCCGCGUCCAUCAAGCUCACCCCCCCAGUUUGACCUCGGAUCAGGUAGGGAUACCCGCUGAACUUAAGCAUAUCAAUAAGCGGAGGA
Molecule: unclassified non-coding RNA, 336 nt
Filed under: soil metagenome
Description: partial contains 5.8S ribosomal RNA, internal transcribed spacer 2, and large subunit ribosomal RNA
Rfam family: 5.8S ribosomal RNA (bases 1-119)
Source: RNAcentral